CAAAGGAGCUGUUGGCUUUGGGGAUGACCAGUGAAAUAUACCUGCUGGAGCGUGUGCUGGAGCGCGGUGGGAGUUGCUAUGGUGACCAGUGAGCUGAGAUAAGGCGGAGUUUACCUAGCAAAUGUUUAUAGAUGAUCUGGAGCCAGUAGGUUUGGCGAUGAAUAUGAAGCGAGGACCAGCCAACGAGAGCAUACAGGUCACAGUGGUGGGUAGUCUAUGGGGCUUUGGUGACAAAACGGAUGUCACUGUGAUAGACUGCAUCCAAUUUGCUGAGUAGAGUGUUGGAGGCUAUUUUGUAAAUGACAUCGCCGAAGUCAAGGAUCGGUAGGAUGGUCAGUUUUACGGGGUAUGUUUGGCAGCAUACCCCGUAAAUAGGAAGCCGAUUCUAGAUCUAACUUUGGAUUGGAGAUGCUUAAUGUGAGUCUGGAAGGAGAGUUUACAGUCUAGCCAGACACCUAGGUAUUUAUAGUUGUCCACAUACUCUAAGUCAGAACCGUCCAGAGUUGUGAUGCUAGUCAUGCGGGCAUUUCGUUUUACUUGUAUUUAAGAGCAGUUGGAAGCCACGGAAGGAGUGUUGUAUGGCGGGAUUCGAAAUGGUUUGUGAUCUGUUUGUUCACUUGGCUUUCGAAGACUUUAGAAAAGCAGGGCAGGAUGGAUAUAGGUCUGUAAUAGUUUGGGUCAAGAGUGUCUCCCCCUUUGAAGAGGGGGAUGACCACGGCAGUUUUCCAAUCUUUAGGAAUCUCAGACAAUACGAAAGAGAGGUUGAACAGACUAGUAAUAGGGGUUGCAACAAUGGCAGCGGAUAAUUUCAGGAAGAGAGGGUCCAGAUUGUCUAGCCCAGCUGAUUUGUAGGGAUCCAGAUUAUGCAGCUCUUUCAGAACAUCAGCUGUCUGGAUUUGGGUGAAGGAGAAGCGGGGGGGCUUGAGCCAGUUGCUGCGGGGCGUGCAGAGCUGUUGUCCCGGGUUGAGGUGACCAGGUGGAAAGCAUUGCCAGCCGUAGAGAAAUGCUUAUUGAAAUUCUCGAUUAUCAUUGAUUUAUCAGUGGUGACAGUGUUUCCUAUCCUCAGUGCAGUGGACAGCUGGGAGGAGGUGCUCUUAUUCUCCAUGGACUUUACAAUGUCCCAAAACCUUUUGGAAUUAGUGCUGCAGGAUGCAAAUUUCUGUUUGAAAAAGCUAGCCUUUGCUUUCCUAACUGACUGUGUGUAUUGGUUCCUGACUUCCCUGAAAAGUUGCAUAUCGUGGGGACUAUUCGAAGCUAGUGCAGUACGCCACAGGGGGUUUUUGUUUUGGUCAAGGGCAGUCAAGUCUGGAGUGAACCAAGGGCUAUAUCUGUUCUUAGUUCUACAUUUUUUGAAAGGGCAUGCUUGUUUAAGAUGGUGAGGAAAGCACUUUUAAAGAACGACCCCUCAAAGUUAGUGAAAAUAUCUAGACCCCCUGCUCCAGGCCCAAGGAGAGCACUGUUUUGGGCCUAAUAGUUGACUGAAGGGGUUUUAUCCUUCUGGUGCUGGUAAUAGGCCUUGUUACAAUGGCUAAUGUAAUAAUAACACCGGUUAAUGUUAGAACCUUUCUAUUUGUAAUAACACAUUUAUGUAAUAAAACCGGUUAAUAUAAUAACUUGCCGGUUAGCGUAAUAAAAUGUUGAACGGUUAACAUAAUAACUUUUUCCGGUGGAUGUCAUUUUUUAGAUUAACCGAUGGUGAUUAAUUUAACCGGUGAGUAAAAACUUUUCUGAUGAAUGAUGUAAUAACAUGCCAAAAUCAAUAUUUUUAUGCACUACUUCCCUCAAUUUGACGCACAUACCAUUACCCACUGCCAGUUAGAACACAAACAAACUUCAUACGUAGCGACGCUCACAAGCACACAUUGAAAUGUACACACAUGCAUAGUCAUAGACACACACACUCUCUCUCUUUAUGUACAUGACAUGACGUAGCUCUACUUACACAGUAAUGAUGUAAAUGAUUUCACAUUGCAUAUUUUAACUGACAUUAAACUGAGAAUUUUGAAUAAAAUAAUGUUAUUAUGAUGAAAAGCAUUUGUUAUUUUAUAUUUUCUAUCUUCUUUUGCCACCUCUGUUAUUUUCUCUGCUCUCUGUCUAUCUAUGUCCUUCCCCUUUCUGUUCUCCUUUUCUUUACCUCCCUAACAGUCUCCCCCUCCCCACCCCCCCUCUCUCUCUCGCUCUCGCUCUCUCUCACUCUCCCCCGCCCCCCCUCUCUCUCUCUCCCUCUCCCUCCCUCCCCCUCAUUCUCUUUCUCUCUCGCUCUCUCUCUCUCUCUCUCUCUCUCUCUCUCUCUCCCCCAAGUGUGCAUGUAGUCAAGGAGAUGUACAGUUGAAGUCAUAUACAGGCUCAAAUCGGCAGCCCAGCAGGCCCAUUCAGGGUGGUGAAUGGAAGCAGCUCCUGCGCUCGGAGAGCAGAGGUGUUUUUCUAUGGACACUGGAGGACUGUAUUGUGGCUUGAAAGCAGCUAAUGUGUGGAGAAAGAUGGACUGUGGGAAUGCUGUAGCUGCAACUUACAGACCUCAGUUUGGAGGGAAGUGGAGGAUACCAACUAGCAUGUAUUGAUUGCUAAGGUCAGGAUUCUACUCUUGAGCAGUGUACAUUAGUCUCACAUGGAGAUGGUGUCUUUGAGCAUAAGCAUAAUUAUGCUAAUGUCAUCUGCUCAGAUUUUGUCAAGUUUGUGGAUGAAGCUGGUUUCUGCUCUGGAAGAGUGGAGCUGAAGUCCAAUCAGUCCUGGACGUCAGGGUGUGAAGCUGACUUUGACUGGCAGGAUGCAGAGGACGUCUGUCGGGAGCUUGGCUGUGGCACCUUGUUGAGAAUAGAUAAAUAAAUAGUAUGUACUCUUCUUUCUCCAGAGUCUGAUGAUGUGAGGCUGGUGGGAGGAGGCAGUCGCUGCGUUGGUAGAGUGGAAUGGUACCAACAGGGAAAGAGGAAUAUGUGGCCUGUAAAAUAUGGCUGGAAAUUGAAGGAUGUCGCUGAUGUUUUUGUGUAGACAGCUGGACUGUGGCUCCACUGUUUCAACACUACUUGGGAAAAUGCACUGAAGGGUUUGAAGUGUACUGUAAUGGACCUGAGCCGGCGCUCAGGGACUGUGGAAGAGGCACAGGGCCAACUUUGGUGACUCCAUUAAAGGUGAUCUGCUCAGAUCUCCCGCUUAAGCCUGAUAUCUCCAUGACCAUCUCAAUGGGACGGGUCUCCAGGGGCCACCAAAGGACUCUAGAGGUGUUCAGGGGCCACAGCUUCACCAGCACCUGCUCCACUCAGCCACAGCACCCGGGUGUCUCCUUCCUCCUCACGUACCCUGACUCCAAAACAACCCAGACCUAGCCAGCUGUCUAUCACUCUGCUGCCUUCCUCUUUCCCGCUGCAGAUGGCUUCCACCAAGGGAACUACAGCUGUGUUCAUGAGAUUUAUGUUUUUUCACAUGACUUCUCUUCUGAGAGUGAGCUCCUCUCCCUCACUGUCACAGUCUCUCCUCUGACAGCUUUCCACUGUCGGUGAAAGCCAACUCCACCACCUAUCUGUACAUCAAGACCACCAAGAGGCCGAAGCGAGUGGAAGGGGUGAACUUGGAGAUGGUUUCUCUGAAGUCUACAGCUGUAGCCAGAUGGGGAGAGGAGAGAGCAGCCCAGGGUACAGAGUAGGGUGAAGUUGACUGAAAAGUCCAAGUGGGGUCCUUGGGAUGAAAGUUGAAAUUGAAAGUUAAAAUGUUUAAAAUGUAGUUGAAAUCUAAAACAUUUAACGUUGUAAAAAGUUAAGGGUUAAGGUUAGGGUUAAGGUUAGGGUUAUGGUUAUGGUAAGGUUUAGGGUAUCGAUGUCCCAAGGUUUCCGGGUGGCACUAACUGAAGUUGACCGUAGAGACGUUGACCUUAGGUCAGUUUUUUGUUUUCCAGAUAUGAUGGGACUGGUGUGGAUUUGAGGGGACUUUAAUCCCCAUCCAAUCUAAUUAAAUGAGUGGUAAGUUUCCAUUGAUGUUGCUAUUGUUAUGGCUACACUCCUAUUGUUGUAGUUGUCAUUGCUGCCAGACAUAAGAGUUGGCCAGAGCACAGUUAGCAUUAGCCUAGCUUAGCUGAGACAUGAUCAUAUGUCAGCGUAGGGCUAGGUUGCCCCGAGGUGCUGCUCUAAUAUCAACCACCAGCUGUCUCCACUGCUCCCCUCUAAGCCCCACUCGACUUGAGGGGUAACUUGUUCUUACCCUGGGUAACCAACUGAGCGCUCAAGAUACAAUACAAGAUACAAUACCUAAAUCCUAACCUUUGUCAGGUUAUAUCUGUGACAGUUUUUUUGGUUUUAAACUCAACUCUUGAGAUGGAUAACAAAGACAGUUACUUAAUAUAAAGCAUUGAGUUUCCAUUCAUAUAUAGCUACUAAUCACCUUGAGGGGAAAAAAAUGGGAAAAGUCACAUCAACUAAUUUGAACGUUUUUUUAUUUAAGUGAAAGACAUGAUAUUACACGUGACAUGAUAGCUAAUAAAGAUGUACACAUCAUUUAUUACAAGAAUUGUUUGGAAUCACUUCCCUGUGCUCACUCAAAACCUCCACUCCUUCAGUCUGGGUUAGACACACAGAUGGCAGCCAAUCUCUUCAGUAAAUAUCAGUAGUUUCAUUGACUCCAGCUCAGAAUAAAGAGAAAACCCUAACAAAACGAGUGGUAGAAACCCCAUCAGAGGACACAUUCUGCCCACAGAGUCCAAUCAUGGCUUCAGAGAGCUAAAUAACCAUGGUGAUAUUGUCUGAACAGCUGUUUGUGUGUGAAAGUGAGAGUGCAUUGCGCAUAUAUGUUCCUGUGACUUUUUGCUAUUUUGCUAUUAUUAGCAUCAAAUGAUGUUAUUUGUGUGGGUCAGUGCAAAUAGUGUACAUGUGGGUGGGUUGUGCGUGUGUGUUCAGCAGUGGGUGAUCAGUGUGUGCACGGAGGUGUGUGCGAGGGAGCUGCGUGAAGGAUUAGCCCCAGUGUGUGUCCACCAGUGAUUAGCCUGGUCAGUGGGCCUGUUGUGCAUUCACCCAGUCCAUUAGCAUAUUAAUGCUGCCUCCCUCUUGAUCUCUCUGUCUCUCUCUUUUCUCCACCCUCUCUCUUUCUCUUUCCUUUCUAUAGCUAUUUCCCGAGUCUCGCUCGAACUUCCUCCCUGGCAAUUUUUUUCUCAACUUAUUUUGUACUUCCCUUUCUCUCUGCGCUCAGUUUGGGCCCUUCGUACUUUACACAUUUCUCUCUUCCUUGUUCUCUUGUCUUUCCCUCCAAAAAUGUCCUAUUGCCCUUUUCUCCUCCUUCUUUCUCUUCCGAAAUCCCUCCUUCCCUGAUAAUCCCAGUCUCUCGCCCCAAGCCCCGUCUCUCCCUACAAUCUCCAAAUCCUUUACAGUGCUUUACUUUCGCUCUCGUUUUCCCUAUUAUUCCGUAGCCUAACCCCUGAACCUUGCCAAACACAGGCAAAUGCAAACACACACACCUCACUUCAUUCAUUCAAUCUAAUUUUCUCUCACUCUCUCCCCUUUCCUGCUAGAAGUGUGCAUCUUGUGAGACCUUUUGUGAAUAGCUUUGAAAGAAAAAGCAACCUAGAAAACAGGGACUGAAGUGCAAACCGGACACAUUCAACAGUACUUAACAUUAUAAAUGCUAUUCAUUUCUCCCUCUAAUGACUUCAGCCUCCAAGUAGACUCAACCUCUUGUUCUGGCUCUUAACCGCCACCGUGAGCCACGUUUAGAAGCUGGAGAAUAGUAGAAGUAAAAAUAAUUUCUUGGAAAAAGCCCAGUGUGCUAAAGGUGAGCAUUUAUACCCACACGUUUCCUUCUGUCCCUUCCAUGUCUGCAUUACUGGAGAUUUCUGGAGGUCAGGGGCGUGAUGUCCAUCCACAACUCCUGGUUUCAGGGAGGCAGACACAAGAAUUGCGUUUGGACAAUCAGCUCCGGACCCCCUGGGUCAGCACAUAGCAGGGAUGGAUGGGCAGACGUUUGGAUAGACAUAGGGUACAGAGAAACGUAUAGGGAAAUUAAGGCCUCUGAAACCCUAACUCAACCACCCUUUCUGUAUGUUCAUGACACAAUGAUGAACGCAGGGUCACUUUGCAGGGCAGCACCCCAAGGCAGCAGCAAUGUGACCCAUACAAAAGGGCUCCCCAUGGUCACACGGAUCAAAGAGACAAAAGCUCCCUAUGAUAACUUAGUGCAGCCGAGUGUUAACACAUGAGCAGCCAAGGUAAGAGCUGGAAACAAAAGUGAGAAGUUGAAACAAAAGUAGCCCCCCAAACUGAAUUGCUCUAUGCAACAUUUGUCUUUCAAUAUGAGCUGUGUCAAAAUGAAUAAUAUGGGCCGCUUUCGAAAGGCCUCAGCCAUUCAUUGAUGCUCCAUGUGCUGCUCACAAUUGAAGAGCAGCCCCGUACGCCCCACAAAGAGAAAUAAAGUAUUUCAUAUCCAUAUCUUAAAGUUAAUGUUAACAGUUAUUUGUUUGAGUAGAUACUAUUGAGUAGAUACUAUAAAAAGUCAUAUUUAAAAGUCUAAUGAAGACUUGUUUUUCUUUUGAAUUCAGAAAAUGCCCUUUUUCUUAAAUAUUUGAUUACAGAA
This 6549-nucleotide long non-coding RNA is filed under the name Salmo salar (Atlantic salmon). RNAcentral's name for it is "lncRNA (ENSSSAG00000097040.1)". The record is from RNAcentral. Lineage: Eukaryota; Metazoa; Chordata; Actinopteri; Salmoniformes; Salmonidae.